This is an RNA transcript of Aethalodelphis obliquidens (Pacific white-sided dolphin), 4594 nucleotides long. It is a transcript of the gene named ubiquitin conjugating enzyme E2 G1, with no coding region annotated. The transcript is spliced from 8 exons. NCBI's taxonomy places the organism in Eukaryota, Metazoa, Chordata, Mammalia, Artiodactyla, Delphinidae. The record is from RefSeq and is a predicted model, not a curated record.
GCGCAGUGAGGCAGUGGCGGGGGAAGGCACCGGUGGGGCCGACUGGCGGGUUGAAGGAGGGAAGCGGGCGAGCGAAGUCCCAGUGCGCGCCGCGGCGGCACGGGUACCCUCCCCUUCCGGGCGUGAGGCGCUGUGAGGAAAGCUGAAGCGAGCUGACUCGCACCGGCAGCGAGACGCCGCUACCGCCGCCCCAGCCCAGCCUCCGUUGGCUUCGGCGCUCCCGUCGUGGGGGCCCGGGUUCCUCAGCACACCCAGCUCGAGCAGCCCCAGAGCCUGUCCCCAGUUCUUCGGAAGCCCCGGCGCCAGCCCGGGCCCUUGGCGGGGAGGAUGACGGAGCUGCAGUCGGCACUGCUACUGCGAAGACAGCUGGCAGAAAUGGAAAUGUUUUGGACAUCAGGUAGCAUUUUGCUAAUGGAUCCAGAACUCAACAAAAACCCAGUGGAAGGCUUUUCAGCAGGUUUAAUAGAUGACAAUGAUCUCUACCGAUGGGAAGUCCUUAUUAUUGGUCCUCCAGAUACACUUUAUGAAGGUGGUGUUUUUAAGGCUCAUCUCACUUUCCCAAAAGAUUAUCCCCUUCGGCCUCCUAAAAUGAAAUUCAUUACAGAAAUCUGGCACCCAAAUGUUGAUAAAAAUGGUGAUGUAUGCAUUUCUAUUCUUCAUGAGCCCGGGGAAGAUAAAUAUGGUUAUGAAAAGCCCGAGGAACGCUGGCUGCCUAUUCACACCGUGGAAACCAUCAUGAUUAGUGUCAUUUCUAUGCUGGCAGACCCUAAUGGAGACUCACCUGCUAAUGUUGACGCUGCGAAAGAAUGGAGGGAAGACAGAAAUGGAGAAUUCAAAAGGAAAGUUGCCCGCUGUGUAAGAAAAAGCCAAGAGACUGCUUUUGAGUGACAUUUAUUCAACAGCUGUAACUUCACUUAUUUCAGGUAAGAUUAUGAAGAAAAGUGCAGACUCUACUGAACCUGCUUCAAGGAUGCAUCCACCUCACUCCCACUAAUACAGGUGAUCUAUAGUGAUCUUGUUGACUGAGGUAAGGAGGAGACUAAGCUAUCUCCAGUAAAUUUUAAAACAUAAGACAGAUAGGAAAAACAAAUAUCAGAACAAAAUACAGGAGAAUAUCAAGGUAGAGAAGGAUUUAUUAGGCACCAGUAACACCCAUAAAAGGAAAAAAUUUGAUAAAUUUGGCUGUAUCAAAACCAAAAACUUAAAUAUUAUGACAAGACAAAGUAAACAAAUAUAAGCGGCAAACUGGGAAAAAUUUUCUGUAAAUCUAAUAUUCAGGAUUUCUAUCUAGAAUCUACAGACUUUUGCAAAGCAAUAAGAAAAAUAUCAGCACAAAGGACAAUGAUAUGAAUAGAUAAUAAAUAGAAGCAAAAAGAAAGAUGAUUGUUGUUAUACAUGCAAAAAUUAAUUCAGCUGUAUUUGUAAGCAGAAAUACGAAGUUACAGGGGAUGACAUCAAAUCCAUCAGGUUGUCAAAAACCAAAAUGUCCAAGAAACCCAAGUGUUGGUGAAGAUUUCGGGAAGUGGUGUACCUGAAAUACUGGUCUCCAAUUGAGAAACAUGGCACUGUUUUUCCUGCACUCUACCCACCUAUUGCUGGACUUCUGUUGUAACAAGUUGGCAAACACUGGCUGGAACUGGGCUGCAAUAAAACAUGCCAGUAUCAAUGCUGACAAGAGCCUAACAAGUGCCAACUUACAGAUGAUUACGCAUUUUGAAUUCUAAUGAACUGUUUUAACCUUCAGGAAGAAUUGUAAAGACCUGUACAUAGCACAACAUGAUCCGGAUAAUAUAUAUACUGUUCAUGUACAUCCACAAACACACCUUGUACCAAAUAAUGCUUUCUUGUAGUAGAAUAAGAAUCGUGUAAAUUCUAAAAGAUUUUAGCAGGUUUUCUUUCCCUAUUCAUUGUUUCUUAUCAGUUUUAAAAGACUCCUUAAAGCAUGUCAGAUAAAAAGCAAUUAGGAUUAAAAGUUUCCAUUUAAUUUCCUUUAAACCAUUGAGGCUUCAUUAAACUCUUUUCACUUACUAAACUUUGUAUCUUCUUUGUUUUGACACACUCCCCUUUGCUUUUGUCUCUUCUGUCUGCCAGGAUCAUUUAGUUCAAAUACUGAAACACUCAACAAGCAACUACUUGAUUUUUAAUGAUGACUUCAGAGGAAUGGUCAUCACUAGGUGCUUCAUCCCUUUUGUAUUAUACUUGCACCCAUCUCUUGGAUUGGAUAUAGCAAUAACAUUUUUUUCAUUGUUGAGAGCUCUUGAAUUCAGUCAUUAUCCCCAAGACCUAAAAAGAGUUGGUUCUGAAUUCAAUUCAGAUUUAAAAUGAUUGAAAUUUACCCCAAACAAUACAAAAUUCUGAUUUGGUUUUAUUUUUGCCCUCAGUUACCUAAUGUGAAGGUUGGAUGAAUAAAGCAUGCACAGCUGCAGGCUUUCUACUUAACUUCUGGGUUUGCUAUUAAAAAUGCUGUUUACCCACACACCCUUCUCCUUAGCUCUUCAUAUUUCUUUGCCUCUAUCCUCUAUACUGCAGAUUUUUCUCACCUAUUGUACAAAGAAAUUGCGAUGUAUAUUUUCAUGUAAUUUGAUUUUGGAAUUCUGUCACCUUAUGUAGUGAGUUCUUCCAAAAUAUAAUUUUUUUCCAAUAAUUGUCAAGUUGUUGGCUUUUAUUGUAUUGAAUGAAGGUUAUAAUACUGAGUGCCAGAGAAGUGCAGUUUAGAAAAAUCUCAGGUUGUUUCCUUAUGCAAACAAAUUUAAUACUUGAAAAUCACAUGGCCAUGGCAGUAUAUGUAUUGGGUUCUGUAUAGAUUCUUAUGUGAAUCCCAAAGCAUUACAGGGAUGUAAAGGCUUUGUUAUUUGACAUAUACAGAUUUUGCCACUGACAUACUGCACUUGGAUUUUUAUUACUGUUUGAGCAUGAGUAUAUUUCAUAUCAUAAGUUUUCAAAAAUAAUUUCAGGAAAUGUAAAAUGAGCAUGUGCAGUGUUAAAGGUGUGCCCAGGUUCCUCUGUGUUUGGUGUGAGGCUGGGACUUGGAGGUAGUCUUUGGCAUAUAAGGGAUAGAACUUGAGACAGUACCUGAUGGGACAUGGUGAUUAAUUGUGAGAAUCAGUGAGAAUUGGUGCAUCUCUGCUCUGGGGGGUUUGGAGAAAUGCUUGGGCAGAAGAAUGAAAGGAUUCCUGCAAGGAGCCAGUCCUUUAUGAACUUGCAUGUCUUUUAAAGCAGAAGUAAAAUAAUUGAGGAUGUAGUCACAGUAGAGAGUGAUUUUUCUAAAUGUCAGUCUCUUCUUCACUCUGAAGCAUUAAAAAAGCCCAUAAAUGUGUAAUGGCUGAAUGUGAAAUUGUUUGAUUCAUUGCAGCCCAAUUUUCUUCAAGAACUUGGCGUGUGACUAUACUUUUUCAAAGACUCUGUAAACACUGUUGCCCCAAAGUGCCAGCAGUACUGCAUGCCUACCUGGGACUUUGAAUGCAAUCCCUUUUUAUUCUUAAAUCAGAAAUUGUUCACAUGGUGCUUGCUUGUGGCAAGAUGGAGUCUGAAUUUUGUUCUCCUAUUGCUGUAAUUCUGCUAGCAAUCUCUUGAGUUAAAACCUGGGAUUUGACUCUUCAGAGAGGAGCAAAUGACCUAGUAACUCAGGGACAACUAUUCUUGAACUUUAAGUGCCACAUUAAUGCAGUUACUUUGGUGUAACCAUGUGUUCUUUAGGGCUAGAUCAUGGGGGUAGAAGGAGAGCCAGGAACGAGUGCACGUCUCAUGACACCCCUUUCCACCUGGUGCCCUGAGUGUGCUACAUAUGGAAACACAGGCCUCGAGAGAUGUUUUGGCUUCUUUUCCUCUGUCAGAGGUGUCAUCUGUGCCUUUCCCAGUGUUCAUCUGACUGUGAAUCUAAAUGCCUCUACAUUUGAUAUUAAACCACACUCAGGUGACACUGAUCCAGGUGGCUUUUGUCCCAGCAGUGCCUCAUCAUUAGUGUGAGUCUUGUCUGCUUUAGGAAAAGGAUUUUUCUCCCUGACCUCGUGCCAACCAUCAACAACACCUGCAUAGUCUUAUGGAUUGUAGAACCGUUGCCUGUUUCCUAAAUUUAUUCCAAGUUCUUGUAAAGGCUUAUCGAUUUCAGUCUGUGCUCAUAAUAGGAUGGGUGAGCUCAGUGGCUUUCUGGCCUCUUGUGAGUUUAAAAUCCAAAUGAGGUUGGUUUUCUUGUCAUUACAAGGUAAUAUUUUUGUGAGGUUAUUCCACUAGUUCUGUGAUUACUUGGGUGUCAUAGUGUCUUUAAUGGCCUUCAUUCUUGGUUGUGAAAUUUUAUUUUAUAUGCUCAUUCACCCUCUACAGAUCUCCCCGUUUGGGGUUGUGGUGCCUGUGUAUCUUUGCCUGUCUGGUCCCCAGUUGGUGGAAUUACCUUUUGUGUACUGCCACUUCUCAGCAUCUUUGAAAUUUGACAUAAUGUUGCUUCAUUCCAGUUUUUUGUUUGUUUUUUUUUUAGUUCUGUAAUUUGUUGAUUGUAUUUAACUAUGUGAGUUCUGUUGUGAUGUUUACUGUAUUGUAAAGCACCUCGAUCAUGUGAUGGGUGCUCUAUAAAUCAAUAAAUGAUGACUUAGAGGCUGUA